Molecule: ribosomal RNA, 897 nt
Filed under: uncultured Bacteroidota bacterium
Lineage: Bacteria; Pseudomonadati; Bacteroidota
Description: bacterial SSU rRNA
Rfam family: Bacterial small subunit ribosomal RNA
Source: RNAcentral
GUGCCAGCAGCCGCGGUAAUACGGAGGAUGCAAGCGUUAUCCGGAAUUAUUGGGUUUAAAGGGUGCGUAGGCGGACUAGUAAGUCAGUGGUGAAAUUCUCGGGCUCAACCUGGGACCUGCCAUUGAUACUGCUGGUCUUGAGUGUAGUUGAUGUUGGCGGAAUGUGUCAUGUAGCGGUGAAAUGCAUAGAUAUGACACAGAACACCGAUAGCGAAGGCAGCUGACAAAACUAUAACUGACGCUGAGGCACGAAAGCGUGGGGAUCAAACAGGAUUAGAUACCCUGGUAGUCCACGCCGUAAACGAUGAUCACUAGCUGUAUGCGAUACACUGUAUGUGGCUAAGGGAAACCGAUAAGUGAUCCACCUGGGGAGUACGUCCGCAAGGAUGAAACUCAAAGGAAUUGACGGGGGCCCGCACAAGCGGAGGAGCAUGUGGUUUAAUUCGAUGAUACGCGAGGAACCUUACCUGGGCUUGAACGUAUGGUGCAUGGGUGUGAAAGCAUCCUUUCCAGCAAUGGACUUCAUACGAGGUGCUGCAUGGUUGUCGUCAGCUCGUGCCGUGAGGUGUUAGGUUAAGUCCUGCAACGAGCGCAACCCCUGUUUUUAGUUGCCAUCAGGUUAAGCUGGGCACUCUAGAGAGACUGCCUGCGCAAGCAGAGAGGAAGGUGGGGAUGACGUCAAAUCAGCACGGCCCUUACGUCCAGGGCUACACACGUGCUACAAUGGCCGGUACAGAGGGCAGCUACUUAGCGAUAAGAUGCGAAUCUCCAAAGCCGGUCUUAGUUCGGAUCGGAGUCUGCAACUCGACUCCGUGAAGCUGGAUUCGCUAGUAAUCGUAUAUCAGCCAUGAUACGGUGAAUACGUUCCCGGGCCUUGUACACACCGCCCGUCACACC